UUCUUAUUGGAUGAUGACUGAUACAUGUCAUGUUCUAAUUGGAUGUCAACUCUAUGAAAGAUGAAAUAAAUUGUUGUUUUCAUUGAUCAAUCAGAACAUGACAUGUGGCAAUCAUAAUCC
This is a non-coding RNA of Glycine soja, 120 nucleotides long. Lineage: Eukaryota; Viridiplantae; Streptophyta; Magnoliopsida; Fabales; Fabaceae. The record is from Rfam.